CUACGCAUCCACGGGAGGCAGCAUGGGGAAUAUUGCACAAUGGGCGCAAGCCUGAUGCAGCCAUGCGCGUGUAUGAAGAAGGCCUUCGGGUUGUAAAGUACUUUCAGCAGUGAGGAAGGUGGAUAUGUUAAUAGCAUAUUCAUUUGACGUUAGCUGCAGAAGAAGCACCGGCUAACUCCGUGCCAGCAGCCGCGGUAAUACGGAGGGUGCGAGCGUUAAUCGGAAUUACUGGGCGUAAAGCGCAUGCAGGUGGUUUGUUAAGUCAGAUGUGAAAGCCCGGGGCUCAACCUCGGAAUUGCAUUUGAAACUGGCAAACUAGAGUACUGUAGAGGGGGUAGAAUUUCAGGUGUAGCGGUGAAAUGCGUAGAGAUCUGAAGGAAUACCGGUGGCGAAGGCGGCCCCCUGGACAGAUACUGACACUCAGAUGCGAAAGCGUGGGGAGCAAACAGGAUUAGAUACCCUGGUAG
This 467-nucleotide ribosomal RNA is filed under the name uncultured bacterium. RNAcentral's name for it is "bacterial SSU rRNA". It matches the Rfam family "Bacterial small subunit ribosomal RNA", at positions 331 to 793 of the family's 1533-position model. The record is from RNAcentral.